RNAcentral lists this ribosomal RNA (440 nucleotides) under uncultured bacterium. RNAcentral describes it as "partial 16S ribosomal RNA". It matches the Rfam family "Bacterial small subunit ribosomal RNA", at positions 338 to 795 of the family's 1533-position model. The record is from RNAcentral.
CCUACGGGAGGCAGCAGUGGGGAAUAUUGCACAAUGGGGGAAACCCUGAUGCAGCGACGCCGCGUGAGUGAAGAAGUAUCUCGGUAUGUAAAGCUCUAUCAGCAGGGAAGAAAAUGCGGGUACGUAACUAAGAAGCUCCGGCGAACUACGUGCCAGCAGCCGCGGUAAUACGUAGGGGGCAAGGGUUAUCCGGAUUUACUGGGGGAAAAGGGAGCGGAGACGGCGCUGCAAGUACGAAGUGAAAGCCCACGGCUUAACCAUGGUACUGCGCUGGAAACUGUGGAGCUUGAGUGCGGGAGGGGCAGGUGGAAUUCCUAGUGUAGCGGUGAAAUGCGUAGAUAUUAGGAGGAACACCAGCGGCGAAGGCGGCUUGCUGGACCGUAACUGACGUUGAGGCUCGAAAGCGUGGGGAGCAAACAGGAUUAGAUACCCGUGUAGUC